AUAGAUUAAGUUAUUAAGGGCGCACGGUGGAUGCCUUGGCACUAGAAGCCGAUGAAGGACGUUACUAACGACGAUAUGCUUUGGGUAGCUGUAAGUAAGCGUUGAUCCAGAGAUUUCCGAAUGGGGGAACCCAGCAUGAGUUAUGUCAUGUUAUCGACAUGUGAAUUCAUAGCAUGUCAGAAGGCAGACCCGGAGAACUGAAACAUCUUAGUACCCGGAGGAAGAGAAAGAAAAA
Molecule: ribosomal RNA, 235 nt
Filed under: Staphylococcus sp. HMSC075A04
Lineage: Bacteria; Bacillati; Bacillota; Bacilli; Caryophanales; Staphylococcaceae
Description: partial 23S ribosomal RNA
Rfam family: Bacterial large subunit ribosomal RNA
Source: RNAcentral